This is a long non-coding RNA of Trichosurus vulpecula (common brushtail), 315 nucleotides long. RefSeq lists it as uncharacterized. The transcript is spliced from 3 exons. Lineage: Eukaryota; Metazoa; Chordata; Mammalia; Diprotodontia; Phalangeridae. The record is from RefSeq and is a predicted model, not a curated record.
CCUUGUGAGUUUUGAAAGAUCAGGAAAGCAAGCCAUUGGAAGGUCUAGAAGUGAAGUCACUGCUGGGGUUUGCAGCCAACUAGUCCAGUUUUAAGACCCCGAGGAACAACGGGCAACCUUCAGGACUCAGGUCAUUAGAAGAUGAGAGAGGAAUUCAUUUAGCAUCAAUAGAUUGUUCCAGCUGGAAGGCACCUCAGAGAUCAUCUUGUGUCACCCCCUCAUUUUUACAUAUGAGGAAACUGAGAUGCAGAGGGUUGAAUAACUUGCUCACAUUUACACAGACUUUGAUGACUCUGGAGGAGAGAACGUUGAGCC